GGAGUUAGCCGGUGCUUCUUCUGUGAGUGAUGUCCUUCCUGCCGGCUAUUAACCCGCAGGCCUUCUUCCUCACUGAAAGUGCUUUACAACCCGAAGGCCUUCUUCACACACGCGGCAUGGCUGGAUCAGGGUUGCCCCCAUUGUCCAAUAUUCCCCACUGCUGCCUCCCGUAGGAGUCUGGGCCGUGUCUCAGUCCCAGUGUGGCUGAUCAUCCUCUCAGACCAGCUACGGAUCGUCGCCUUGGUGAGCCGUUACCUCACCAACCAGCUAAUCCGACAUAGGCUCAUCCGAUAGCGCGAGGCCCGAAGGUCCCCCGCUUUCCCCCGUAGGGCGUAUGCGGUAUUAGCCUGGGUUUCCCCAGGUUAUCCCCCACUACCGGGCAGAUUCCUAUGCAUUACUCACCCGUCCGCCGCUCGCCACCAGGGAGCAAGCUCCCCGUGCUGCCGCUCGACUUGCNUGUGUAGCNGCCGCAGCGUCAUCUGAGCAGAACUACAACUACUGA
Molecule: ribosomal RNA, 502 nt
Filed under: uncultured bacterium
Lineage: Bacteria
Description: partial 16S ribosomal RNA
Source: RNAcentral